UAAAUCAGUUAUCGUUUAUUUGAUAGUACCUUACUACAUGGAUACCUGUGGUAAUUCUAGAGCUAAUACAUGCUAAAAACCUCGACUUCGGAAGGGGUGUAUUUAUUAGAUAAAAAACCAACGCCCUUCGGGGCUCCUUGGUGAAUCAUAAUAACUAAGCGAAUCGCAUGGCCUUGCGCCGGCGAUGGUUCAUUCAAAUUUCUGCCCUAUCAACUUUCGAUGGUAGGAUAGUGGCCUACCAUGGUGGCAACGGGUAACGGGGAAUUAGGGUUCGAUUCCGGAGAGGGAGCCUGAGAAACGGCUACCACAUCCAAGGAAGGCAGCAGGCGCGCAAAUUACCCAAUCCCGACACGGGGAGGUAGUGACAAUAAAUACUGAUACGGGGCUCUUUUGGGUCUCGUAAUUGGAAUGAGUACAAUCUAAAUCCCUUAACGAGGAACAAUUGGAGGGCAAGUCUGGUGCCAGCAGCCGCGGUAAUUCCAGCUCCAAUAGCGUAUAUUAAAGUUGUUGCAGUUAAAAAGCUCGUAGUUGAACCUUGGGUCUGGCUGGCCGGUCCGCCUCACCGCGAGUACUGGUCCGGCUGGACCUUUCCUUCUGGGGAACCUCAUGGCCUUCACUGGCUGUGGGGGGAACCAGGACUUUUACUGUGAAAAAAUUAGAGUGUUCAAAGCAGGCCUUUGCUCGAAUACAUUAGCAUGGAAUAAUAGAAUAGGACGUGCGGUUCUAUUUUGUUGGUUUCUAGGACCGCCGUAAUGAUUAAUAGGGAUAGUCGGGGGCGUCAGUAUUCAGCUGUCAGAGGUGAAAUUCUUGGAUUUGCUGAAGACUAACUACUGCGAAAGCAUUCGCCAAGGAUGUUUUCAUUAAUCAGGGAACGAAAGUUAGGGGAUCGAAGACGAUCAGAUACCGUCGUAGUCUUAACCAUAAACUAUGCCGACUAGGGAUCGGGCGGUGUUUCUAUAAUGACCCGCUCGG
This 972-nucleotide ribosomal RNA is filed under the name Aspergillus chevalieri. RNAcentral's name for it is "SSU rRNA". It matches the Rfam family "Eukaryotic small subunit ribosomal RNA", at positions 102 to 1083 of the family's 1831-position model. Lineage: Eukaryota; Fungi; Ascomycota; Eurotiomycetes; Eurotiales; Aspergillaceae. The record is from RNAcentral.